Lingula anatina is the source of this 45-nucleotide non-coding RNA. Lineage: Eukaryota; Metazoa; Brachiopoda; Lingulata; Lingulida; Lingulidae. The record is from Rfam.
ACAACGGCCCUUUUCAGGGCCACCCUCAUUUUCCAAGUAAAGCUA